RNAcentral lists this non-coding RNA (26 nucleotides) under Mus musculus (house mouse). Lineage: Eukaryota; Metazoa; Chordata; Mammalia; Rodentia; Muridae. The record is from RNAcentral.
UGAAAAUAUGAAAGGGGACUGUGAAU